CAAAAACAUGUCCUUUUGUAAAUAAUUUAAGGUCUAGCCUGCCCACUGAUAUUUUAAAUGGCCGUGGUAUUUUGACCGUGCUAAGGUAGCAUAAUCAUUAGUUUUUUAAUUAAAAACUGGAAUGAAAGGUUGGAUGAGAAAAUAGCUGUCUCUAUUAAAUUUAAUUAGAAUUUUAUUUUUAAGUUAAAAAGCUUAAUUGUUAUUAAAAGACGAGAAGACCCUAUAGAGUUUAAUUAUUUAAUAAAAAUUAUAUUUUAGUAUUAAUUUAUUUAUUUUAUUGAAUAAUUUAAUUGGGGUGAUUGAAAAAUUUAAUUAACUUUUUUUAUUUAAGAACAUUAAUUUAUGAAUAAAUGAUCCGAUAUUUUUGAUUAUAAGAUAAAAUUACCUUAGGGAUAACAGCGUAAUUUUUUUAGAAAGUUCAUAUUAAAAAAAAAGAUUGCGACCUCGAUGUUGGAUUAAAAUAAAUUUUUGGUGUAGAAGCUAAAAUAUUAGGUCUGUUCAACCUUUAAAAUUUUACAUGAUCUGAG
Molecule: ribosomal RNA, 527 nt
Filed under: Oreina gloriosa
Lineage: Eukaryota; Metazoa; Arthropoda; Insecta; Coleoptera; Chrysomelidae
Description: partial 16S ribosomal RNA
Rfam family: Bacterial large subunit ribosomal RNA
Source: RNAcentral